This 223-nucleotide unclassified non-coding RNA is filed under the name Hevea brasiliensis (rubber tree). The record is from RNAcentral. Lineage: Eukaryota; Viridiplantae; Streptophyta; Magnoliopsida; Malpighiales; Euphorbiaceae.
GCAGCUGCAGGUGCGUCGGCCACUACAGCGUCGCCGGAUGCGAACGCUAGGGCGGUGGAGCGGAGGUUUAGGAUCUCGCUACCUUGGCCGUUCAGUGGCUUUGGGACACAAGCUGAGGGGAGUGGUUCUGGCGCUGGAGAUGGCUCGGACAAUGCCAACAACCAAGGCGGCAGAGAUGGUCCUGGGGGAAACAGUUCAGCACAACGUCAAGAGGAUUUGGAUU